Long non-coding RNA from Prinia subflava (tawny-flanked prinia), 1388 nucleotides. RefSeq lists it as uncharacterized. NCBI's taxonomy places the organism in Eukaryota, Metazoa, Chordata, Aves, Passeriformes, Cisticolidae. The transcript has 5 exons. The record is from RefSeq and is a predicted model, not a curated record.
AUUCAGCAGGAUUUGAAACACUUUCCUGAAAGACAACACAGAGAGUCACCUCCUCUUAUUUUUCUUCUAAGGAGGCUGCUCCAAUUGCACUAUUUUCCAAGCAAACAAAGUUGUGAUCUUCAGAGAAAGACUUUUUUAGGCCCAGUUCAAGGCAGGAGUGUCGUCUGUACAGAGGAGCAUACAGAAAAGCAUGAAUAUGCUUUCUUAAAGAGUGAUACAACAAGAAAAGAACAAUAUCCAGGUUUAUGAUGUGCCCCUGUGUAAAACCAGUAUGGAGGGCUCAAACCCAAGGAUCUGCCCAACAUCUUUGAUCCCACAGGCGGAUGAGAGCUCACCACUGAACAUAUUGAGUAAGUCCGUGGCUGCCAGCAGGUUGCAGGAACUUGGAGAGAAGUUGCACUCCUUGCUGGAUAUGGGACUGGUAACAUGCUAACCUGCAGCUGGAGAGAACUCCGUGAGGGGAUCGGUUACCAUAACUAGCCCCAGAAGUCACUAGUGUACAAAAGUGUGGGAACCAGGGGAAGCCAAGUCUCAGAGGAUGUUGAAGGUGGUGCUCUUGAUUCCAAAUGUACAGAGUGCGAAAUCACUGCCAUCGGAAGAGAACAAUGCAAGAAAAGCUUUGCUUUACCAGCCUGCACUACAAAGGAUAAAAGAAAACAUGAGACAGCACCAAACAUGUCUCUCGGAAGUAAAGCAACAGCGUAACAGUGAUGCUUAAUCAGGAAGAAAGUCUGGUGACUAAUAAAAAUGAAUGGUCAGAGAAUGGAAACAGCCUUGGGAUGGCAGGCAUGCCCAGCCAGGUAUAGCACAGAUAAUAUUUAUUGCUUUACUUUUCUUGCAGUUGUUCUUAACUUGUUUUUCUUUUUUCUUUUUUCUUUUUUUUUUUUCCAAUUUCACAUCUGUUCUCUCUGAGGUGUCUUAAUUGCAGGGAACAAGAUGCUUGUAUUUCUUUAACACAUCAUAGAAUCAGAAAAUUGUUUGGGUCAGAAGGAACCUGAAAAAUCACUGAGCUCCAACCCUCCUGCCGGGGGCAGGGACACCUUUCACUAGACCGGGUUACGCAGGGCCUCAUCCAGCCCGGUCUUGGACACUUCCAGGAAUGGGACAUCCACAACCUCUCGUCGGUCUCUUCUCUACAAAGAACAUCUCUGCAAACAGCACUUACACGAGGCUUCUGUUUUACUGAAUAGUAACAUCAAAUCAGAGAAGCUGCCUAUGGCUGGGCUCUAUGUAAAUAAGAGAAAGAACGUACUGUAUGCUGUUAAUUCACCGGAAGGAAUCUGGACUAAGGCUGGACAAUGAUGGCUCCAAUGCAGACACGGCUGGACAAGGUGACAUGAUUUCUUGCUGCAUCUUUGGUGGCUCAAGAUUCCCGUGUGUCUCUGAGG